This 302-nucleotide long non-coding RNA is filed under the name Gossypium barbadense (sea-island cotton). Its description in RNAcentral is "long non-coding RNA (GBAR_LNC021381)". Lineage: Eukaryota; Viridiplantae; Streptophyta; Magnoliopsida; Malvales; Malvaceae. The record is from RNAcentral.
AAGCCGGGAAAAUAUAUGCAUUCAAUGAAGGGAAUUACCAAUUGUGGGAUGAUAAGUUGAAGAAGUAUAUUGAUGACCUUAAAGACCCUGGCCUUAGUGGCAAGCCUUAUUCAGCUAGAUACAUUGGAAGCUUGGUUGGAGACUUUCACCGGACACUGCUAUAUGGUGGAAUCUACGGUUACCCUAGAGACAAAAAGAGCAAAAAUGGUAAGCUGAGACUCUUGUAUGAAUGUGCACCAAUGAGCUUUAUUGUGGAACAAGCUGGUGGGAAAGGAUCUGAUGGACAUCAAAGAAUCCUUGAU